Long non-coding RNA from Oreochromis aureus, 349 nucleotides. The record is from Ensembl. Lineage: Eukaryota; Metazoa; Chordata; Actinopteri; Cichliformes; Cichlidae.
GUCAAAUCUAGCCUUUAUUUAACAACAUAAGCAAACUCUAUGUUACAAUGAUUGCACAGCCAUUAAGGAUCAAAUCAGUUUCUGAAAAAUGUUCUGUUUUUUCUCCCUCUGCUUGCUUCUUACUGUCUUUGAGGCUCGGGACCAGCACUCCUGCUGUUGGACAGAAAGACAUCAACUCAGUGACUUGAGAUAUGACUGCACUAUGCUGUUGCUGGUGACCACAGUUAAUUCUACAAGACAUGCUGUGACAACAGGAGAGAUGAGUCCUCCGUCACAGAUGGUGUGGUCAGUGAAGAUGGUCGCCUGCAGGUUCAAGCUCAUUGCAUCUCUAACCCACAUCCACUGCCAC